This 251-nucleotide ribosomal RNA is filed under the name uncultured prokaryote. RNAcentral describes it as "partial 16S rRNA". The record is from RNAcentral.
ACGGGGGAUGCAAGCGUUAUCCGGAUUUAUUGGGUUUAAAGGGUGCGUAGGCGGUUUGAUAAGUCAGCGGUGAAAUAUUUCAGCUUAACUGAAAGGGUGCCGUUGAUACUGUCAGGCUUGAAUAUGGUUGCUGUGGGUGGAAUGUGUGGUGGAGGGGGGAAGUGGUGAGGGAGGGGGGGGGAGGGGGGGUGGGGGGGGGGGGGGGGAGGGGGGGUUUGAGGGUGGGGCGGGGAGGUGGGGGGAUGAAGGGG